CUGGAUUUGCAGGGUCCUAUAUUCUAGAUGCUCAAGAUGGAAUAAUUUUUUCUGCCAAUUUAUUUAACAUCCAGAAGGAGGCCCUUCAUUCUGCAGAAGUAUCCCGUGAGGAAGAUCUGUUGAAGUACUCUUAUGAUCUUAUCUUGUUGGUAUGCAGCUUGUUGUGGUGGAUUAAAUAUAUUGCUUCAACCCAAUUUGCAAAGCUGGAUUUCUGUUAGGAGGGGCAUCUACAGUGUUUCCUUAACAUCAGCUAGGGGAAGAGACCAUGGGAAGCAAGGGGAAAGUUUGGAAGUUGCUAUCACUUUGCAACCUCCCUCUCUAUUCUGAGAUUAGAUGGCCCUCUUCCAGACUGUUUUUUUUUCCUCA
Molecule: long non-coding RNA, 366 nt
Organism: Lolium rigidum
Lineage: Eukaryota; Viridiplantae; Streptophyta; Magnoliopsida; Poales; Poaceae
Exons: 3
Source: RefSeq, a predicted model, not a curated record